RNAcentral lists this ribosomal RNA (993 nucleotides) under Triticum aestivum (bread wheat). RNAcentral describes it as "partial small subunit ribosomal RNA". Lineage: Eukaryota; Viridiplantae; Streptophyta; Magnoliopsida; Poales; Poaceae. The record is from RNAcentral.
AUGCUAAGGGCCAUGUUAUCGAGGUGGCCAAGUGUGAUACUAGCGAGUUUGGCUUAUGAUGAGAAGGGACAAAGAAGGUACGUGUGGAGUUUGCUUGCCGGUGCAAUCGCAUCUAUCCGCCGAUUCGUCCUUCCAAAGAGGGACGAGUCGAAAUGGUGGUGGUCAAACUCUAUGGGGCAACAAAACCUAUUUGAUUUGUACAACAAACUUAGCAGGGCCAGCCAAGUAAGCAGAAUCAUGAGUUGGAUGGGGGUUGAAUUUUGGUGGAACACAAUGCUCUGCUCAAGCUCCAUCCCUGUCUCCAGAACUAUUAAGGAGCAACUGUUGGAUCAAAUGCAUAUGUGUUGUCAGAGUGCGAGCAUCCUGGGCAAGUACCAGUACAAGCUCGAUGACAAGCAGUUAGAUCCCAUCGUCAAUACCUGGGGCCAGGCAACCUUAAAGAAAUGGAAUAUAUACACGGAGCCAGGCAGUGAUCUAUACAGUUAUCUGGAUAUGGAGUUGGAUGAGAAUAUCCUCAUAUGGCACAUCGCCACCAAUAUUUACCUCCAUUGGUACAAGCGGCAAGAGCCAGCUACAGUUGAUGUUGAGGCAACCGAGGCGAUUUCCAAUUACAUGCUUUUCCUCCUUGCGGCACGCCCCUACAUGCUGCCGGGCUCUGUCAGCCGCACCAAGUAUGUUGGUAUGUGCUAUUGUCUCAUGGGUCUCAAGUACAAUACAGCUCAAUAUUUGGCAAGAGUGCUAGGGUCGAAAGAUAAAAUAAAGUAUGCUAAAAGAGGAGACAUGCCAAAAAUUGCUGAGUUAAUAAAGGAUCGGAAAAGAGAAAAUAUGCCGAAAAUUAAAGGGGAACAGAAGGUUCCAACAAGAGAAGAUCACAUUCACGACAACGAUACACUGUCUAAAUCACGCUAUCUAGCCAACAGGCUAAUACAUGCGGGUUGUAGACCAGAUGAUGUGCUAGGAGUGUGGACGGAGAUGCUGCUAUGCGGGGCAUAG